GACGAACGCUGGCGGCGUGCCUAACACAUGCAAGUCGAACGGAAAGGCCCUGCUUUUGUGGGGUGCUCGAGUGGCGAACGGGUGAGUAACACGUGAGUAACCUGCCCCUGACUUUGGGGUAACUUCAGGAAACUGGGGCUAAUACCGCAUAGGAUCUCCUGUUGCAUGGUGGGGGUUGGAAAGUUUCGGCGGUUGGGGAUGGACUCGCGGCUUAUCAGCCUGUUGGUGGGGUAGUGGCUUACCAAGGCUUUGACGGGUAGCCGGCCUGGGAGGGUGACCGGCGACAUUGCGACUGAGAUACGGCGCAGACUCCUACGGGAGGCAGCGGUGGGGAGUAUUGCACAAUAGGCGGAAGCGAGAUGCAGCAACGCCGCGUGCGGGAUGACGGCCUUCGGGUUGUGAACAACUUUCGCCUGUGACGAGGCGUGAGUGACGGUAAUGGGUAAAGAAGCACCGGCUAACUACGUG
Molecule: ribosomal RNA, 468 nt
Filed under: uncultured bacterium
Lineage: Bacteria
Description: partial 16S ribosomal RNA
Rfam family: Bacterial small subunit ribosomal RNA
Source: RNAcentral